Molecule: long non-coding RNA, 159 nt
Organism: Hibiscus syriacus
Lineage: Eukaryota; Viridiplantae; Streptophyta; Magnoliopsida; Malvales; Malvaceae
Exons: 3
Source: RefSeq, a predicted model, not a curated record
AGCAAUUUGGUAGGCAGGCUUACGUGAUUUGCACGUAGCUUCUCUAUUUCUACAACCGGCCAUUGUAUCAAUUGUUUUCCAGUUUUGUCGAGCCAAAUUUGCCUAGGAAUUGCCUGCAAAAUCAGUCCAUAAUCACAAGUUUGUCAGGAGUUCGAUUUA